This is a long non-coding RNA of Cyprinus carpio carpio, 674 nucleotides long. The record is from Ensembl. Lineage: Eukaryota; Metazoa; Chordata; Actinopteri; Cypriniformes; Cyprinidae.
GCGAGGCGCGCUCUAUAGCGGAACGUUCUCGUGCGGUUACCAUGACGCUGAGAGUGGGUGAAUCCCGCCCUCUCGCGCUGUUCUGACCGCUGGCUUGGUAUUUGUCUGAGGUAAACGGAGCUGUUCCAGAGCUUCCCCUGGACCAGCUUCAUUCCUUGGACCAGCCCUGGAUUUAACAUCUGGUAUGCCAUCCACAGGAAGAUGAUUUGGGAUCCAGAUGAACCUAUUUUUGACCUUAGUCAUAAUGUGACCCAUAAAAAGAAAGCUGAAAUGAGCUGCCUGGCACUGCGUGGACCCUGAUCAGAAUGUGCUGGCCGGGUGAGAUCACUCGCUCCACUGAACCUGCAUUCCUCUACUGCUCUGUCAGUGCAUUCCAGACAUGAAUGCUCGGACGCCUCUCAUGACUGCUCGGAGUUCAGUCUGUCAUACCUUUACACUGACCUCACUUUAACAGAAACAGGUCUGAGACCAGGACUAUGUCAUCAUUCUCAAAAUAGAAACACUGAGAGCUUCUUUUCCUCUACUAACCCUGAUGGAUUUAUGUAGGAGGCACACAGACAUAGGGUAGGGUAGGGUAUAUGAUUUCAUGUUGCAUCUGCACACAAAAUGAAAAAAAAAAAAAAUCACAUAAGGACUUCUCUUUUUUUGACAUUGACAUUUUUAUUUUAUUGACA